RNAcentral lists this ribosomal RNA (301 nucleotides) under uncultured bacterium. Its description in RNAcentral is "partial 16S ribosomal RNA". It matches the Rfam family "Bacterial small subunit ribosomal RNA", at positions 509 to 807 of the family's 1533-position model. The record is from RNAcentral.
CAGUCGCCGCGGUAAUACGUAGGUGGCAAGCGUUGUCCGGAAUUAUUGGGCGUAAAGGGCUCGCAGGCGGUUUCUUAAGUCUGACGUGAAAGCCCCCGGCUCAACCGGGGAGGGUCAUUGGAAACUGGGAAACUUGAGUGCAGAAGAGGAGAGUGGAAUUCCACGUGUAGCGGUGAAAUGCGUAGAGAUGUGGAGGAACAUCAGUGGCGAAGGCGACUCUCUGGUCUGUAACUGACGCUGAGGAGCGAAAGCGUGGGGAGCGAACAGGAUUAGAUACCCCCGUAGUCCCUGUCUCUUAUAC